CCCAUCCACCGUUGAUCAGUAGCCACCCACGAUCAACCCUGUUACCGGAUGCACUCACCGGACCCGUUUCCAUUUCUUUAAAGAAUAUUCUCCUAUAAUGUUUAAUUAUCCCGCACUAAUUGGUCGGUUCUGAACAGAUCGUAUAAAUCCCUUGGUUCCCAUCCCAUCCGCGACGGCAAUCUCUCCGUUGUAUUCGGAUCGAGCGCUAGCUACCGGCGACUCGAAGCGGAGGUAUGGCACGAUCCAUUGGGGAUCGAGCAACCACGCCGGCGGCAACAUCCAUCGGUGAUUUGCUGGGAUGCGGCGGCAUUCAUCUGCAGCAACACGGCGUUCCUAGGCGGUGCCGGCCCUUGUGGCGACGGUAUCACGGCAUCAAUCCAUCGGCUCUUCCUAUCUACGCGGAGGCGGCGGUGGCUUCACCUUGGCUGACCGAUCGAAGCUAGCACCGGUGACCUUAACAAGGACGCCAUCAAUAUUUCGGCAAGCCACUGUGGUCAUGCGGCUGGCAUCGAUCAAGCCCGUGCAACGAUCAAGGCAAGCCCUUUCUUCCUUCUUCCAGUUUUGUUUGAUUAAUUUUUUCCUAUAGAACGAUAAUACAUACUCUUCCUUUUCCUUUUUCUAUUGGGUAUAUCUCUGUUAUUGUUUGCAGACGAGGAUGCAGACAUGAAGUAUGACGUUGAUAGAAUGAUUAAGCCUCUGAUGAAUGCAUUUGUUUGGUGCAUGCACAUGCGAGACACAUCUAUCGUGGGCAUAGAUGGUGCUGACAACAGGACACUCCAGCAUGUACGGUCGUCUGGCGACGGUGCUGAGUCCGUGAUUCCGUUGAUCCAGAGGAUAAGGAGCUCGUCGGUGCCAGAGCUCAAAGAGGUGCGAGGAGACCAGGGCGAGGCCAGGCCAUUGGUGCUGGGUUUGAGCUUAAGCUCAAGCUCAUCGUGGUUGGGGGAAUGAAAGAGAGCCCCACGUCUAUUUUUGAUUUUUUUUUUGGUGAUUGAACUUUCACGUGGAUGACACGUCAAUGAAAACUGUCCUUGAAAAA
Non-coding RNA from Oryza sativa Japonica Group (Japanese rice), 1036 nucleotides. Lineage: Eukaryota; Viridiplantae; Streptophyta; Magnoliopsida; Poales; Poaceae. The record is from RefSeq and is a predicted model, not a curated record.